UAUAUAUAACAUAUAUAUAUGUUUUUUUCAUUUUCAGUGUAUGCUGCUUGGAUUUAUUGUAUCAGUGUUGUUUAACAAUAAUAAUGCUUGUUUGUUAUUUGAAGAGCUUUAAUAAAAGUAAAAAAAAAAUAAAAAUCCUUCAACAGUUUGCGCAUGCGCACUCGUUCACGUUCGAAAAAAGCGGAGGGUUACGGAUGGAGAUCAUGAUCAGACUGUCAUCAUUACAGCCACAAGCAACAAACGGAGGAGUUCGGGCUGAACUCUCUUUUAAUUGUCCUCUUUUACUUCGACAGGAUUUUUUGUUUCACAGGGACCUUGUUAGCAUAAAUGCAACUUUAUCACGGAUUGUUCGCUUGACGUCUUUCGAAGUUUUUAAACUUUUCUUGUAUUGAUCUACUACAGAGCAGACUUACAUGGUGACCUUUUCACAGACGGACAACCUGUUGCAAGCUAUAUUCAUCCAGUCAAUGUUAUUGACCUUAUAAGUGCACAGAAGAACAUACUGUAAACCCAGGGUUUACAAAUGUACAGUGUAAAAUCUUAAAACUUUAAUAGCCUUUAUUAUUAUUAUUUGUAUUAUUUGUAUUUGUAUUUGCAUUUAAUGAUUAAAAAAAGACGUGUUAGAUGAGGGAGACAUACAAAAUGUCUAGUAGCCUCCAGGAGAGGUUUGGGAGGGACUAGUAGCGCAUCAGAUUUCUUGGAAGCAGUCAUCAUGCCCAUGUUUAAACAUGCAGAGAGAUGUCUAUCUGUGCAUAUUUUUAGUUUUCUGUGUCUAUUUCCUAACUUCCUCUGGUAGUUACCGACCUUCAGUGACUGGACAGCGCUUCUUGGAAGCUUUUCAGACUGUGAUAUGUUGUUCGUGUCUACAUUAUGUGACACAGUAGGGAAUGGUAUGUGUGUACAUCAUAUAGCCUAGAAAGUGGGGUAAUAUCAUACUUUUUAUUUUCAAUACAUUUUCCCUGAGACCUCACAUUUUGUCACAUGGAGUCAGUUUAGUUUUUCUUGACCAUUUCCACCCUCUCUCUUAUGUAGUAUUAGACUUUUUUUGCUGCCCCUUUAAGAGUUGUAUGUAAAAUGUAUCUUUGCAUAUGGAGGUAGGUACAGUGCUUACAAACUUAAAGGAGUAGUUCACUUUCAGAAUGAAAAUUCUGUCAUCAUUUACUCACCCCCCACUUGUUCCAAACAUGUAUG
Molecule: long non-coding RNA, 1191 nt
Filed under: Sinocyclocheilus anshuiensis
Lineage: Eukaryota; Metazoa; Chordata; Actinopteri; Cypriniformes; Cyprinidae
Description: lncRNA (ENSSANG00000035752.1)
Source: RNAcentral